ACAGAUCGACACCACAAGCCCUCAUCCUCCGCUGCCCAUCUGCCAAAGCAAACAAGAACACACAAGACAGUUCAGGCAGGCAUGGAUGCAGAGUUCACCUGAGUUGGGAGGGACUGACUAGCCAACCAUGCAAAUGCAAGCAGGGCGGAGAAUUAGUAGCCGAUGUCGGCGCCGUCGUCGACCAAGGUCGCCGUUGAUGCCGGGGAUAGGUAUCGAUCACACGGUGUUAUGGGCCCUGGUCAAGAUCGCAGGAGGAGACGCUUCAAUCUGGCGAGAUCCCGGCUCUCGUUGCUGCUCUCUCGGAGGUGGAUCUCAUCUGGGAUAAUAUAUAUGGCAGAAUUUCCAAGGAAAUGCACGGUUGCCUUGUCGGCUGAGUGUAACUUCCAGGUCGCAACCUUUGUACGAGCAGCCGAAUGAGCAGGAACGAGUACACAUCACAUUUUAUUGACUCAUGCGUGGGUGGUGUAAACAACGGAAAUGAUUUGCGUACGACGAUGCAUGUCCGAAGCACGUACGACGAUGCAUCCGCAUCGUGAGCUAGCUAACCCGUUGAAAGACAUACGGCUUGAUUUGAUGGUCGUACGUGGUUCGGAUGAGAAUCGUCGUACGUGUAGCACUGCUCAGUCUUGGGUGGUGUAAACAAAGUCUUCUUAGGGUAUGUACAAUGGUUGAUAAGAUAGUUUUAUUUCAAGUUUUACAUGUAAUUUAUAGAUGAUAAAAAAAGUCUUACAAUGAAUCACCUCUUAAUUGUUCUCUCUUAAAUAAGAAAAGACAAAUUUUUUUUAUGAGUUAUCUUUCCUCCACCUCAUCAUUUAUCUUACAUGACACUACUAAGAUAGCAUCAUUGUACAUGUCCUUAUGUGACAGGAAAAAAAAACCAACAGCCCUACCAGGAAAUAAAACAAACGUGUGAAGCACGUGUUGUGCAUGAGAGUGAUUUUGUUUUCUUAACUCAUGCCUUUUGGUUUAUUGCACUAUCUUUCUUUUAACACGCAAGCGUUUAUAUACACGUACAUAGACUGAGCCGGCAUAUCAUGAAAUUUAUGAAUAAAUUCAGAAAUAAAUGCGAACAUCAGGAUUUAAACCCUGAUGAGCUAUGAAUAUCACAAUCUCUCUAACCAUCCAACCACAGACUGGUUCGCAUUGUACUCUUCGUCGUACUAUCUUUUCAAUGUGUUACUUGUUGUCCUUAAUAAUUAUCAUAUCUAAGAUGCCCUUUGGGUGUGUUUCGUACUAUGAAAAAGGGUCCUGCAUGGAUAGAGAGAGCGUGUGCUGACGAGACAGCAUAAAAUGUUUCACCAGUUAGUUAAUAGAGUGUCACAUAAAUAAAAUACAUAGUCCGGGUAGGAAAAAUACUCCACGAUGCUUGAGUGCCCUUGACCAAAGCCUAGCGCCCUCGAUCGCCCCAUCCUUUCCUCCCUGGCUACUACCUCAGAUCACCGCCAAUCCGCAUGACUUCCAAGGACGACAGCGGCGAAGCUCCCUCCUUGAGCAACACCUUGGUACUUGUACGCCUCUUCCUACUGAGCGACGUCGUUGUGCUCUCCGUUGGUUCCUUGGUGGUUGCGUUUUUCUGUUGCCAUUUUUGUUGGCGAUGCUCCGCCCCUCCUUUGGACGGAGCAUUGCCAGUAUAUGGACUUUUUUUUAGAAUAACUGCAUAUUUUUUAACCAGCAAAUGUUACAAACAUAGCACAUACAUAACAUCGCUGAGAGAGCACGAGAGACCAAAGGUGUCCCAACACAAAUGCAAAAAGGUCUCAAAAAGGAGAAAAUACAAUCUGAACCCCCGGGGGCCUUAAUGCAUGAAGAACCAACACCAGUCGCUGACCGCCGCCAUCGACGACGAGACGAACGGCGAAGGAGGACGCCAGAAACCAUCAAACCCUGAGCCGAGGGCACACCAUCACUGAAAAGGGCUUUCUGAGUCGAAGAUGAGCCCGGUCGCAAACGGUGAGGCAUAGCCGUUGUGGCACGUCGACCGGGGAAAGUCCCCGUGCAAAUCCUCGGCUCCAGUUUCGGCACCUCCGUUGGACGAAGUCGAAGGAGAAUUACCAGAUCUACCGCCACAAACCACCACGAGAGUGUUGAGUCACCAAGUCUCUCGCCAACAGCCGCGGUCACCGCACGGGCCGGUGACCAACGCUGGCCCGAGCACUCCUAUACAAGACUCUGUCGGCUUCCCAUCGACACUGAAGAACGUGUCGAUGUGGCAGAGACGAAGCCGAGGGAACAAAACUCCCGAUGUCCCCUGCUUGACCAAAUCCGAGCACGCCAAGCCUGUCGCCGCACACGUCGGCCAGGCCAAACCUAACCUCACCGCCCAAGACGAGCGGCAGGAAUCUACGCCGAGCAGCGCCCGAGGAAACACCACCGAGACGGAGGCGGAACCGGAGGACAAAAGGCACGAGCUGGGCAGCCGUCGCCGCCUCGUCGACCCAGCCCCACCACCCAGAUAUCGCCAGCCACGCGAAACCUGCGAGCAGACCGAAGCUCCCAGCCUUCUCGCCCACCGCAACGCAUACCACCGCGUUGGGGAGAGAGCAGGGGCACCCUUAUUAGCCGCACUCGCCAUUCCCACCGGAGAUGCGAAAACGACCAGCCACCACCAAGCUACAAAGCCUACCUAGACUACACCUGUACAAGCCAUGCCCCCGGAUCCGACGACCCCAACCUGCACCGAAGAGCAUGAAGUCCCGGGGGAGAUGGCGUCGCCGGAUCCAAAGCCGGCAAAGGAGUCGCCUCUCACUAGUGGAAAACGGGCCUUUGGCCAGGACCCUUUAGUCCCGGCCUGCCUCUGGGCCGGGACUAAAGGCCCGGCCACGUCGCCCCAAUUCUCAAUGCCUCCCUCGAGGCUUUAGUCCCGGCCCGUAAGGAGCCUUUAGUCCCGGUUCAUGUUCCAAACCGGGACUAAAGGGCUACGCGGCGGGUAGUGGUGGUGGCAACCGUUCGUAUCCCCCUUUAGUCCCGGUUGGUGGCUCAACCCGGGACUAAAUCCCUAACCCGUGCCCUGCCGUAGUGGUGGUAACCGUUGGUAUACCUCUUUAGUCCCGGUUGGUGGCUCAACCCGGGACUAAAUCCCUAACACGUGGCCUGCCGUAGUGGUGGUAACCGUUGGUAUACCUCUUUAGUCCCGGUUGGUGGCUCACCCCGGGACUAAAUCCCUAACCCGUGCCCUGCCGUAGUGGUGGUAACCGUUGGUAUACCUCUUUAGUCCCGGUUGGUGGCUCAACCCGGGACUAAAGGCCCAAACGGUUUGCAUCCCGCGUCGUUUCGGGCGAUGAAAAGCACGAACCAAAGCAGAGUCGCCAUUUCUCUGUUUCUUCUUCUCUCUCGCUCUCGCUCUGUUCUUCUCCUCUCUUCUUCCAUCAUGCCAACUCGCUUUGGAGAGGUGCUCGCACAUGGCAAGACCAAGCUCGAUGUCGUGUACACGAACGAGAGCAGGGAGAUGCCGUAUUUUCUUGAACAGUUGAAGGAACGAUGGCUUGACGCCGCAAUGGAUCAUGAGAAGUUCUUGGGGCUUGAUCUGGAGUACACGGCCGAUCAACGCGGUGUUGCCGUCAUCCAACUAUGCUUCGCACACCAUGUCUUGAUCUUCCAAUGGGCGAGGUAAGUUUUGAGGCUUUCUUUGAUCCAAGGUAAUGACAUUGUAAGUUUAUUUGUUUCAAUCAUAGUUGGUUCCCUUCAAAUAGUUGUAGUGAAACAAUUUUGAUUAGUUGAAGGGGAACACAAUCUGAUUGGAAUAGUGUUCCAUAAUCUGAAAAAUCGUAUUAGAAUCAACUAGUGUUUAAUAUGUUCCAUUGGAAUCAUAGUUGGUUCGCUUCAAAUAGUUGUAGUGAAACAAUUUUGAUUAGUUGAAGGGAACACAAUCUGAUUGGAAUAGUGUUUCACAAUCUGAAAAAUCUGAUUGGUUCAAUAUGUUCCAUUGAAAUCAUAGUUGUAGUGAUACAAUUUUAUGCGGUGUUAUUUGAUCCAAGGUUAUGAAAAUUGCAUAUAGCUAGUGAUCUCUCUAGGUUCCAUUUGAUAGCAAUAUGAUAUGUCAUAGUCAUGAAAAUUGCAUAUAGCUAGUGAUCUCUCUAGGUUCCAUUGGAUAGCUAUAGUGAUCUCUCUAGGUUCCAUUGCAUAUGUUCUAUUUGAAUCCUAAAGAUAAUUUUCUCUUUAGUUGUAGUGAAACAUGUUUCCUUAUUGCAGCAGUAUGUAACAUUUUCCAUUUUAAUUUGUUUCUGUUGCAGUAGUGACAAGCAUUGUCCAGAACUCAUGGACUUCCUGCGCAGCGGCAUCACUUUUGCUACCGUUGACAUAACGAACGACAAGCUGAAGAUGAGGUACAGCUUCGGUAUUGAGAUACCAACUGGUUGCCUCAUUGAUCUCCAAACGGUAUUCAGGCUUCGACAUGUCAGGACUUCGAUGGCUCAUAUGGCAGUUGCCUUGAUCGACGAGGAAUAUGGUGAUAUGAAGACCAAUUUUCCCAAAGUCUCAGCACAAACUUUGGGAGAAGGCCCCACUUGAUCGUAUCAACAUUGAGUAUGCAACAAAAGAUGCAUACGUUUCAUACGAGUUGUACCGCAAGAUUCGAGUCGUCAACUAUGGCCAGCGUCACCUCGAAUAAGGUGGACAUUCUGAUUCGAGUCGUCAACUAUGAAAACUAAUUCCCGAACACCAAACGAGGCAUCACGUUAAUCUUCCGAACACCUAAACCCUAAAAUCCUAAAACCCAAAAAUAAUUUCAUUCAAAAAAAACCCAAAAAUAAGCAAAAUCUAAAACUCUUUAGUCCCGGUCCGUGUAACGAGCCGGGACUAAAGGGCCUGCCCCUGAGGCGCUACGAGGCGCCCACGUGGAGCAUCUUUAGUCCCGGCUUGUAACAGGGCCGGGACUAAAGGUUAGGCGUCCCGGUUGGUGAACCGGGACUAAAGUCCCUUACGGGCCGGGGCUAAAGGCCCCGUCUCCACUAGUGUCUGGCAGUAUAUGGACUUGUGGUAACCUUUGUUAGGACUUAGGUGCUCCAUCCCUGUUCCUCACCUCUCACCUGAUUUGGACGCCCACCGGUUUGGUCUGGCCUAGUAUCUUUUUCCAGUCAUUUCUCGGUUAGAUGCGGAAGAUUUGCCGCAUGAUCUAGCGAUUGCAUCUGACGUUUUUCUUGACUGGUGAUUAAAGUUGGUCGUUAAGGUCUUGUUGAACGUACGUGUGGACCAAAAUAUGUUUUUAUCUUUGUGACAAGUACAAUGACCGCUGUUGUAUUUAUCUCUCAUCUCAACCCUCAACUAAAUUCUAUGUGAAUUCCUAGUAUCUCUUGCAAUCCCUGGUAUCCAUCAAUUGGUUCUGUCGCGCUCCUAAGUUCUCCUUCCCUCUCCGAUCAUAUAUCUCUUUAGUCGAAUCAUGGCAAGGUCAUGUCAAGACCCAAAUGUUUUUUCAAAAAGAUAGUAUAAACACACACACUCACAUCCAUGAACGCACAUACGCACGUUCUAUUCCUAUAAGCACAUUUGAAAGGCUGAGCCGGCGGAUGUUAAGAUUGACAAAGUCACAACAAACGUCACAUCACUCUAUGGACAGAAACAUUGCCUCCCAUUGAGAGUACAUUUCGCGUUUAUCACACACCAAAGCAUCAACAUUUAAUUCCUUGUGUUAGGAAUUAAUUAAAUGUAUUAAUUAAUGGAAUAAUCCAUGCGUUGCCGGUUGCCUUGAUUUAGCAACCGUUCCUUGUAACCGACUCUGUACUCGGGGUAUAAAUACCCCGCAUCUUCAAUCAAUAAUAAUUGUUCCAUCAUUCUGUCACUUUCACUGUUUUACACGUUAUCAGCACUCGCUCUGCCGAGAGCGACAGAGAGCCACGAGAAAGGUCAGAAUGGCAGGAAGAGAGUUGUCUGCACUUGCUUUUGCUUUCGCACGCUUCCUGCAGAAAGAGAACACCCGCUUCCCUCGCACUCAGCGCCACCGCAUUGCACGUCGCCAUCAGGGUCUUGGUGCAAGGAAUGGCCCUCAUCGCCGUUCCUUCACCAGGAACCACCGCCAGAACCGGAGUGGCCCUCAUCGCCGCUUCUUCGCCGGGAACCACCGCCAGAACCACCGCCGUGGGUAUGCACGUCGAGGCAACCAACCACUUCGUGGGCGUGCACCAACGGUGCACCAGGCUGGAUCCUCGACUCCGGCCACCGCUCCACUACAACAGGCUGGUGUUGUAGAUAUGCCCUAGAGGCAAUAAUAAAUUAGUUAUUAUUAUAUUUCUUAGNNNNNNNNNNNNNNNNNNNNNNNNNNNNNNNNNNNNNNNNNNNNNNNNNNNNNNNNNNNNNNNNNNNNNNNNNNNNNNNNNNNNNNNNNNNNNNNNNNNNUGGAUAAUAAACUAUUAUCUUGAUACAGGAAUUAUAAUAAUAACUAUGCAUUUAUUAUUGCCUCUAGGGCAUAAUUCCAACAGUGCCUUCUAGUUGCACUGUCUGUACCCAGACAGUUUAUAACUCUUCCGCUGGCUUGUAUUUGUAUGACUGCUAUUAUGGGUCGAGAGACCUUAAUGUGUAAUAUUAUGUGUGUGGCUCUUNNNNNNNNNNNNNNNNNNNNNNNNNNNNNCUUCCGAGCCUCUUAAAUAAAGCUUGUAUGUUUAUGGUUAUGUUGUGAUGCCAUCGAUGUAUCUAUACAUAUCGGUAUGCCAUGCGUACGUGUGUCUUACUUGGUAUGUAUGGGGUUCGAAUACCUAGUCGUGAACUUUAGUAGCACUCCUUACAAGGAAAUGCCCCUUUGUGAUCCAACGAGCCUUGGUAGUUCGCUACUGCUCCGGACACAUUGGUUGACCGGCAUGUGUCCUUCUUAGCUGCUGUGUCUGUCCCCUUUGGGGAAAUUUCACGCGAUGUAAUGGAGUCCUUGUAGCUUGCUACGACUCGUCUACAUUCGCCGAUGACCGACACCUGCUUUGUUGGGUCAUGUAUGCCUGUCCUUGUGCGGUACUGCCACUUUGGUUUAUGACUAGACAUGUCGAUCCGGGUUCUUUGACAUUGGAUUGCUAGCGACACUAUCGCAUACGUGAGUCAAAAGACGCAAACGGUCCCGGCUAAGGUAAGGCUGCAGCCGUGGAGUUAACCGUGCGUGAGACCACAAAGGGAUGCGAUGUGUUACAGGCUAGAUUCCUAUGGCUUAGGAUCGAGGUCCCGACACUUUAAAAUAUCCAUUUGUACUUAACGGUCUUACGACCAUCAAGUAGUUCUUCCAAAGUCUACACUUUGUUUUCAUACAUGGAUCCUCUCUCGGAUUUCAUGGCCUCCAGCCAUUUAUCGGAAUUCGAGCCCACCAUCGCUUCUCCAUAGCUCGUAGGUUCAUUGUUGUUCAACAACAUGACCUCCAAGACAGGGUCACCGUACCACUCUGUAGCAGUACGCGACCUUGUCGACCUACGAGGUUUGUAGUAGCUUGAUCAGAAGCUUAAUGAUCACAAUCAUUAGUUUCCACUUCAAUUUGCGUAGGCGCCACAUGAACAAAUUCCUGCGCCCUGCUACACACUAGUUGAAGUGAUGGUUCAAUAACCUCAUCAAGUUCCACCAUCCUCCCACUCAGUUCUUUCGAGAGAAACUUUUCCUCGAGAAAGGACCCGUUUCUAGAAACAAACACUUUGCUUCCGGAUCUGAGAUAGGAGGUAUACCCAACUAUUUUGGGUGUCCUAUGAAGAUGCGUUUAUCCGCUCUGGGUUCGAGCUUAUCAUGCUGAAACUUUUCCACAUGAGCAUCGCAGCCCCAAACUUUUAAGAAACGACAGCUUAGGUUUCUCCAAACCAUAGUUCAUACGGUGUCAUCUCAACGGAAUUACGUGGUACCCUAUUUAAAGUGAAUGUGGUUGUCUCUAAUGCCUAACCCAAAACGAUAGUGGUAUUUCGAUAAGAGACAUCAUAGUAUGCACCAUAUCAAAUAGGGCGCGGCUAUGACAUUCAGACAAACCAUCACACUAUGGUGUUCUAGGUGGCAUGAACUGCAAAACAAUUUCCACAUUGUCUUAACCGUGUACCAAAACUCGCAGCUCAGAUAUUCAUCUCUAUGAUCAUAUCGUAGACAGUUUAUCCUCUUGUCACGAUGAUCUUCACUCUGGAAUAGCUUUGAACUUUUCAAUAUUUCAGACUUGUGAUUCAUCAAGUAAAUACUCAUGUAUCUACUCAAAUCAUCAGUGAAGUGAGAACAUAACGAUAUCCACUGCGUGCCUUAGCACUCAUUGGACUGCACAUAUCAAAAAUCUAUUGCAUCCAACAAGUUACUUUCUUGUUCCAUGUGGUAUGAUUUUGCAUGUCUCAAGUGAGUUAAAAUCAAGUGAUUCCAAACGAUCCAUCUGCAUGGAGUUUCUUCAUGCGUUUAUACCAACAGGUAUGGUUUCCAUGUCUCAAACGUUUCAAAAAUGAGUGAGUACAAAGAUCCAUAAGCAUGGAGUUUCUUCAUGCAUUUUACACCAACAUGACUCAAGCGGCAGUGCCACAAGUAAGUGGUUCUAUCAUUAUUACUUUGUAUCUUUUGGCACCACUAUUAUGAAUAUGUGUAACACUACGAUCGAGAUUCAAUAAAUCAUUGAAGGUAAUUAUUCAAGAAAAUAGAAUAACCAUUAUUCUCUUUAAAUGAAUAAUCGUAUUGCAAUAAACACGAUCCAAUCAUGUUCAUGCUCAAAGCAAACACCAAAUAACAAUUAUUUAGGUUUAACACCAAUCCCGAUGGUAGAGGGAGCGUGCGAUGUUUUGAUCACAUCAACCUUGGAAACACUUUCAACACGUAUCGUCACCUCGCCUUUAGCUAGUCUCCGUUUAUUUCGUAGCUUUUAUUUCGAGUUACCAAUCACUUAGCAACCGAACCGGUAUCUAAUACCCUCGUGCUACUAGGAGUACUAGUAAAGUACACAUCAAUAUCAUGUAUAUCAAAUAUACUUCUGUUGACUUCGCCAGCCUACUCAUCUACCAAGUAUAUAGGGUAGCUCCGCCUCAGUGACCGUUCACCUCAUAACAAAAGCACUUAAUCUCGGGUUUGGGUUCAAUCUUGGGUUUCUUCAUUAGAGCAGCAACUGGUUUGUCGUUUCAUGAAGUAUCUCUUCUAGCCCUUGCCCUUCUUGAAACUAGUGGUUUUACUAACCAUCAACAAUUGAUGCUCCUUCUUGAUUUCUACUUUCGUAGUGUCAAACAUUGUGAAUCGCUCAAGGAUCAUCAUAUAUAUCCUUGAUAUGUUAUAGUUCAUCACGAAGCUCUAGCAGCUUGGUGGCAGUGACUUUGGAGAACCAUCACUAUCUCAUCUGGAAGAUUAACUCCCACUUGAUUCAAGCGAUUGUUAUACUGAGCACAUGCUCAACGAUUGAGCUUUUCUCCUUUACUUUGUAGACAAAGAAUCUUGUUGGAGGUCUCAUACCUUUCAACAAGGGCACGAGCAUGAAAUCUCAAUUUCAUAUCUUAGAACAUCUUUUAUGUUCCGUGACGUUUCAAAAUGUCUUCGGCGUCUUGCAUCUAAGCCAUUAAGUAUUACGCACUGAACUAUCACGUAGUCAUGAAAAAUGUGUAUGUCAGAUGUUCGCAACAUCCACAGACGACGCUUGAGGUGCAGCACACCGAGUGGUGCAUUAAGGACAUAAGCCUUCUACGCAGCAAUGAGGACAAUCCUCAGUUUUACGUACUCAGUCCGCAAAGUUACUACUAUCAUCUUUCAACUAAAUUUUCUCUAGGAACAUAUAAAAAAACAGUAGAGCUAUAGCGCAAGCUACAUCAUAAUUCGCAAAGACCUUUUGACCAUGCUCAUGAUAAUUAGUUCAAUUAAUCAUAUUACUUAAGAACUCCCACUCAAAAAAUACAUCCCUCUAGUCAUUUCAGUGGUGCAUGAUCCAAAUCCACUAACCCAAGUCCGAUCAUCACGUGAGUUGCGUAUAGUUUCAGUGGUAAACAUCUCUAUGCUAAUCAUAUCAACUAUAUGAUUCAUGCUCGACCUUUCGGUCUCUUGUGUUCCGAGGCCAUGUCUGCACAUGCUAAGCUCGUCAAGUUUAACCCGAGUGUUCCGCGUGUGCAACUGUUUUGCACCCGUUGUAUGCGAACGUUGAGUCUAUCACACCCGAUCAUCACGUGGUGUCUCGAAACGACGAACUGUCGCAACGGUGCAUAGUCGGGGAGAACACAAUUUUAUCUUGAAAUUUUAGUGAAGGAUCACGUUAUAAUGCUACCAUCGUUCUAAGAAAGAUAAGGUGCAUAAAAGGAUUAACAGCACAUGCAAUUCAUAAGUGACAUGAUAUGGCCAUGAUCUUGUGCUUCUUGAUCUCCAUCACCAAAGCACCGACAUGAUCUUCAUCGUCACCGGCACCACACCAUGAUCUCCACCAUCGUGCCGCCAUCGAGGUUGUCGUGCUAUAUACGCUAUCACUACUAAAGCUACAACCUAGCGAUAUAGUAAACGCAUAUGCAAACACAAACGUUAGUUUAAAGACAACCUUAUGGAUCCUGCCAGUUGCCGUAGCAUCGACGUGCAAGUCGAUAUUUAACUAUUACAAAAUGAUCAUCUCAUACAUCCAAUAUAUCACAUCAUGUCUUUGGCCAUAUCACAUCACAUGCAUACCCUGCAAAAACAAGUUAGACAUCCUCUAAUUUGUUGUUGCAUGUUUUACGUGGCUCCUAUGGGUAUCUAGUAUGAUCGCAUCUUACUUACGCAUAGCCACAACGGUAAUAUGCAAAUUGCUAUUUAACCUUUCUCCAAGGACCGCCUCGGUCAAAUCCGAUUCAACUAAAGUUGAAGAAACAGACACCCGCCAGUCAUCUUUAUGCAACAAGUUGCAUGUUAGUCGAUGAAACCGGUCUCUUGUAAGCGUACGAUUAAGGUUGGUUUGGGCCGCUUCAAUCCAACAAUACCGCCGAAUCGAGAAAAUACUAAGGAGGGCAGCAAAUUGAACAUCAAUGCCCACAAAAACUUGUUUGUUCUACUCGAGAUUACAUCUACGCAUGAACCUAGCUCAUGAUGCCACUAUUGGGGAACGUUUCAUGGGAAACUAAAAAAUUCCUACACACACGAAGACCUAUCAUGGUGAUGAUCAUCUACGAGAGGGAGAUCGGGUCCACAUACCCUUGUAGAUCGCUAAGUGGAAAUGUUAAGAAACGUGUAUGAUGUAGUGGUAUGUCUUCACGAUCCGUCCCACGAACCGUCUCACGAUCCGUCCCGAUCAAGUGUUGAACGGACGGCACCUCCGCGUUCCGCACACGUACAGCUCGAUGACGAUCUCCGCCUUCUUGAUCCAGCAAGAGGGGCGGAGAGGUAGAUGAGUUCUCCAGCAUGGCGAUGUGGUGGUGGUGUUGGUGGUGCUAUUCCAGCAGGGCUUCGCCUAAGCACCGCUGAAACUAGAGGAGAAACAGAUCUAGAGAGAGAGGGCAGCACGUGGCUGUUUCUGUUGUCCAAAAACCCUCAAAACCCUUAGUAUAUAUAGGAGGAGAGGAGGGAGAGGGUUGCGCCCUAGAGCAACCUUCUCUUCCCUUGCGCAAGGGAGAGGAGGAGGAGUCCUACUCCAAUCCUAUUUGGAGUAGGAUUCCUCCUUCCCACUUGGAAACUCUUUCCACCUUGUGUUUUUCCUUCUCAAACCUUAUGGGUCUUAGUGGGAACUUAUUCGAGCCCACUAGGGGAUGGUUUAUCUCUUGCCACAGCCCAUAAGGCCUCUUGGGGCGUGACACCCCUCCCGAUGGUCCCCGGCACACCUCCCGGCACUCCCGGUACACUACCGAUGAGCCCGAAACUUUUCCCGUGACCAAAACAGGACUCCCUAUAUAUCAAUCUUCAUUUCCGGACCAUUCUGGAAACCUUCGUGAUGUACGGGAUCUCAUCCGGCACUCUGAACAACCUUCGGUCACCAACACAUAUAACUUAACUAUACCGAAACAUCACCGAACUUUAAGUGUGUAGACCCUGCGGGUUCGAGAACUAUGUAGACAUGACCUGAGACACUCUUCGGUCAAUAACCAACGGCGGGACCUCGAUGUUCAUAUUGGCUCCUACAUAUUCUACGAAUAUCUCUAUCGGUUGAACCUCUAUGUCAAGGAUUAAUAUAAUCCCGUAUACUAUUCCCUUUGUCCUUCGGUAUGUUACUUGCCCGAGAUUCGAUCGUUGGUAUCUCCAUACCGAGUUCAAUCUCGUUACCGGCAAGUCUCUUUACUCGUUCCAUAAUACAAGAUCUCGUGACUAACUCCUUAGUCAUAUUGCUUGCAAGGCUUGUUGUGAUGUUGUAUUACCGAGUGGGCCCCCUAGAUACCACUCCGUCACAUGGAGUGACAAAUCACAGUCUUGAUCCAUGCCAACCUAAUAGACACCUUUGGAGAUACGUGUAGAGCACCUUUAUGGUCACCCAGUUAUGUUGUGACGUUUGAUACACACAAGGCAUUCCUCCGGUGUCCGGGAGUUGUGAUACGUCCAUUUUGCAUCAUGUUUUCAUGUUGAUAUUUAUUGCUUCUUGGGAUGUUAUAUUACUUGUGGUGCCAUAUUUAUGCCUUUUCGCUCUUAUUUUGCAAGGAUUAUUUGAAGAGGGAGAAUUCAGGCAGCUGGAAUUCUGGACUAGAAAAGGAGCAAAUCCUAGUCCACUAUUCUGCACAUCUCCAAAUGCCCUGAAAAUUUUCGUGGAUUUUUUCUAGAAUAUAUUAAAAAUACUGGGCGAAAGAACUACCAGAGGGGGCCACCAGGGCCCCACAAGCUUGCCCACCGCCGCCGCCCCCCUGGUGGCGCACGGCAGGCUUGUGGGCAGCCCACUGGCCCACUAGCCCCCCUCUUUUGCUAUAUGAUGCGUCCUGACCUGGAGAAAAUCAUACAGGAGCUUUUUCGUGGUUUCCCCGCCGCCACAGGGCGGAACUUGAGUAGAUCCAAUCUAGAGCUCCGGCAGGACGAUCUUGUCGGGGAAAUUUCCCUCCCGGAGGGGGGAAUCAUCACCAUCUUCAUCACCAACACUCCUCUCAGCGGAGGGGAGGCAUCUUCAUCAACAUCUUCAUCGGCACCAUCUCUUCUCCAAUCCCUAGUUCAUCUCUUGUAACCAAUCUUCGUCUCGCAACUCAGAUUAGUACUUGUAAGGUUGCUAGUAGUGUUGAUUACUCUUUGUAGUUGAUGCUUGUUGGAUUACUUGGUGGAAGAGUUUAUGUUCAGAUCCUUGAUGCUAUUCAUUACACCUCUGGUCAUGAUUAUGAUUAUAUCUUGUGAGUAGUUACUUUUGUUCCUAAGGACAUGGAAUAAGUCAUGCUGAUAAUAGUCAUGUGAAUUUGAUAUUCGUUCAGUAUUUUGAUAUGAUGUAUGUUGUUUUUCCUCUAGUGGUGUUAUGUGAACGUGGACUACAUAACACUUCACCAUAUUUGAGCCUAGAGGAAGGCAUUGUGAAGUAGUAAGUAGAUGAUGGGUUGCUGGAGUGACAGAAGCUUAAACCCCAGUUUAUGCGUUGCUUCGUGAGGGGAUGAUUUGGAUCCACUAGUUUAAUGCUAUGGUUAGACUUUGUCUUAAUUCUUCUUUUGUAGUUGCGGAUGCUUGCUAGAGAGGUUAAUCAUAAGUGGGAUGCUUGUCCAAGUAAGGUCAGUACCCAAGCGCCGGUCCACCCACAUAUCAAACUAUCAAAGUAACGAACGCGAAUCAUAUGAACAUGAUGAAACUAGCAUGACAGAAAUUCUCAUGUGUCCUCGGGAGCAUUUUUCCUCCUAUAUGACUUUGUUCAGGCUUGUCCCUUGCUACAAAAGGGAUUGGGCCACUUGCUGCACCGUUGCUACUACUUGUUAUUUGUUACUCUUUGCUUGCUACGUUUCACCUCGCUACACAAUCACUUGUUACCGCUACUUUCAGUGCUUGCAGUUAUUACCUUGCUGAAAUUCGUUUAUCACAGCCUUCUGCUCCUCGUUGGGUUCGACAAUCUUACUUAUAGAAAGGACUAUGAUUGAUCCCCUAUACUUGUGUUGGAAAUAUGCCCUAGAGGCAAUAAUAAAUUAGUUAUUAUUAUAUUUCUUUGUUCAUGAUAAUCGUUUCUUAUCCAUGCUAUAAUUGUAUUGAUUGGAAACACAGUGCAUGUGUGGAUACACAGACAAAACACAGUCCCUAGUAAGCCUCUAGUUGACUAGCUCGUUGAUCAAAGAUGGUCAAGGUUUCCUGACCAUAGGCAAGUGUUGUCACUUGAUAACGGGAUCACAUCAUUAGGAGAAUCAUGUGAUGGACUAGACCCAAACUAAUAAGACGUAGGAUGUUGAUCGUGUCAUUUUGUUGCUAUUGUUUUCUGCGUCUCAAGUAUUUGUUCCUAUGACCAUGAGAUCAUAUAACUCACUGACACCGGAGGAAUGCUUUGUGUGUAUCAAACGUUGCAACGUAACUGGGUGACUAUAAAGAUGCUCUAUAGGUAUCUCCGAAGGUGUUCGUUGAGAUAGUAUGGAUCGAGACUGGGAUUUGUCACUCCGUGUGACGGAGAGGUAUCUCGGGGCCCACUCGGUAAUACAACAUCACNNNNNNNNNNNNNNNNNNNNNNNNNNNNNNNNNNNNNNNNNNNNNNNNNNNNNNNNNNNNNNNNNNNNNNNNNNNNNNNNNNNNNNNNNNNNNNNNNNNNNNNNNNNNNNNNNNNGGUAAACGAGAUUGAAAUAGGUAUGCGGAUACUGACGAUCGAAUCUCGGGCAAGUAACAUACCGAAGUACAAAGGGAAUGACAUACGGGAUUAUAUGAAUCCUUGGCACCGAGGUUCAAACGAUAAGAUCUUCGUAGAAUAUGUAGGAUCCAAUAUGGGCAUCCAAGUCCCGCUAUUGGAUAUUGACCGAGGAGUCACUCGGGUCAUGUCUACAUAGUUCUCGAACCCGCAGGGUCUGUACACUUAAGGUUCGACGUUGUUUUAUGCGUAUUUGAGUUAUAUGGUUGGUUACCGAAUGUUGUUCGGAGUCCCGGAUGAGAUCACGGACAUCACGAGGGUUUCCGGAAUGGUCCGGAAACAAAGAUUGAUAUAUAGGAUGACCUCAUUUGAUUACCGGAAGGUUUUCGGAGUUACCGGGAAUAUACCGGGAAUGACGAAUGGGUUCCUCGGAAUGUACCAGGAAUGACGAAUGGGUUCCGGGUGUUCACCGGGGGGGCAACCCACCCCGGGGAAGCCCAUAGGCCUUGGGGGUGGCGCACCAGCCCUUAGUGGGCUGGUGGGACAGCCCAAUAAGGCCCUAUGCGCCAUAGGAAGAAAAUCAAAGAGAAAAAGGAAAAAAGAAAAGGGGAGGUGAGAAAAAGGGGAAGGACUCCACCUUCCAAACCUAGUUGGAUUCGGUUUGGAAGGGGAGGACUCCCCCCCUUGGCUCGACCGACCCCCAAGGCAAGGCCCCCCUCUCCCACCUAUAUAUACGGAGGUUUUAGGGUUGAUUUGAGACAACUUUGCCACGGCAGCCCGACCACAUACCACCAUGGUUUUACCUCUAGAUCGCGUUUCUGCGGAGCUCGGGUGGAGCCCUGCUGAGAUUAGAUCACCACCAAACUCCGGAGCGCCGUCAUGCUGCCCGAGAACUCAUCUACCUCUCCGUCUCUCUUGCUGGAUCAAGAAGGCCGAGAUCAUCGUCGAGCUGUACGUGUGCUGAACGCGGAGGUGCCGUCCGUUCGGCACUAGAUCGUGGGACGGAUCGCGGGACGGUUUGCGGGGCGGAUCGAGGGACGUGAGGACGUUCCACUACAUCAACCGCGUUUCUUAACGCUUCUGCUGUGCGAUCUACAAGGGUACAUAGAUCAAAUAUCCCCUCUCGUAGAUGGACAUCACCAUGAUAGGUCUUCGUGCGCGUAGGAAAAUUUUUGUUUCCCAUGCGACGUUCCCCAACAACUUGUGGGUCAUCAAGACUCUUUUCUGGCGCCGUUGCCGGGGAGUGAAGCGCCUUUGGUAAGUGGAAAUUGGUAAGGAAACAAUUUUAUACUGUGCUGAAAUUUAUUGUCACUUGUCACUAUGGAAACUCUUCCUUUGAGGAGUUUGUUCGGGGUAUCUUCACCAUGAACGGAAGCACGAGGAUUUGCUCCUCAACCUGAGGUACCUACUGAAAAUAUCUUUUAUAAAAUUCCUUUGGGUAUGCUUGAGAAAUUGCUGGCUAAUCCUUUUACAGGAGAUGGAUCUUCACAUCCAGACUUUCAUCUAAUCUAUGUAGAUGAAGUUUGUGGUUUAUUUAAGCUUGCAGGUUUGCCCGAGGAUGAGGUAAAGAAGAAACUCUUUCCUUUAUCUUUGAAGGAUAAGGCAUUGACAUGGUAUAGGCUAUGUGAUGAUACUGGAUCAUGCAGCUACAAUCGGUUGAAAUUGGAAUUUCAUCAAAAGUUCUAUCCCAUGCAUUUAGUAUAUCAUGAUCGGAACUUUAUUUAUAACUUUUGGCCUCGUGAUAGGGAAAGCAUAGCUCAAGCUUGGGGGAGGCUUAAAUCAAUGCUAUAUUCAUGCCCCAAUCAUGAGCUCUCGAGAGAAAUCAACACUCAAAACAUUUAUGCUCGGAUUUCUCAUGAAGAUCGUACCAUGCUUGAUACUUCUUGUGCCGGUUCUUUUAUGAAGAAGAAUAUUGAUCACAAGUGGAAUUUAUUGGAGAGAAUCAAACGCAACUCUGGAGAUUGGGAGCUGGAGGAAGGUAAGGACUCAGGUAUGAAUUUCUAUUUUGAUUGCGUUAAAUCUUUUGUUGAGACAAACACUUCUAGAGAGCGCUAAGUAUGGACUUGACUCUGAGAUAGUAGCUUCUCUUUGUAAAUCUUUUGCUGCUCAUGUUGAUCUUCCCAAAGAGAAGUGGUUUAAAUAUCAUCCUCCUGUAGAAAGCAACAUAGCCAAAACCAAUCUAGUUGAGGAGAAAAUCAUAGCUUUUAGUGAUCCUGUUGUUCCUUGUGCUUACACUGAGAAACCACCAUACCCUGCUAGGAUGAAGGAUUAUUCUAAAGCUCCAACUGUGAUACGUAGGGGUUACAUUAGACCACUUGCACCCCCUGAAGAGAUUAGAGUUGAACCUAGUGUUGCUAUUAUCAAAGAUCUCUUAGCCAAAGAGAUAGAUGGGCAUGUUAUCAAAUUCUGUGAGGACUCCGCUAGAAUUGCUAAACCUCACGCGAAAGACAAGCACGGACCUGUAGUUGGCCUGCCCGUUGUUUCUGUUAAGAUAGGAGAUCACUGUUACCAUGGUUUAUGUGAUAUGGGAGCUAGUGUUAGUGCAAUACCCCGUUCUCUAUAUGAUGAAAUCAAAGAUGAGAUUGCACCAGCUGAGAUAGAACCCAUUGAUGUCACUAUCACGCUAGCUAAUAGAGACACUAUAUGCCCUUUGGGAAUUGUGAGAGAUGUAGAAGUCCUGUGUGGUAAGACGAAGUAUCCUACUGAUUUCCUCGUCCUUGGUACUACACAAGAUAGCUUUUGUCCCAUCAUAUUCGGUAGACCCUUUCUCAACACUAUCAAUGCUCACAUUGAUUGCAUUAAGCAGACUGUCAUAGUAAGUUUCGAGGGUGUGUCUCAUGAAUUUAACUUCUCCAAGUUUGGAAGACAACCCCAUGAAAGAGAUUCAUCUGGUAGGGAUGAAAUCAUUGCUCUUUCCUCUAUUGCCAUACCUCCUACGAAUCCUUUAGAGCAAUAUCUGCUUGAGCAUGAAAAUGAUAUGCAUACGGAGGAGAGAGAUGAGAUAGAUAGAAUUGUCUUAGAACAAUGUCCUAUUCUCAAGAAUAAUCUGCAUGUUGAACUGCUUGGGGAUCCUCCCCCACCAAAGGGUGAUCCUGUGUUCGAGCUUAAACAGUUGCCUGAUACUCUUAAGUAUGCCUAUCUUGAUGAGAAGGAGAUAUAUCCUGUCAUUAUUAGUGCUCUCCUCUCAGAGCGUGAAGAGAAGAAGUUACUAAAAACUCUGAGGAAGCACCGCGCUGCUAUUGGAUAUACUCUUGAUGAUCUUAAGGGUAUUAGUCCUACUCUAUGUCAGCACAAGAUUAAAACCGAUCCUGACUUUAAACCAGUUGCUGAUCAUCAAAGGAGAUUAAAUCCUAAGAUGAAAGAGGUCGUUAGAAAAGAAAUAUUAAAGCUUCUGGAAGCAGGAAUCAUUUAUCCUAUUGCUCAUAGUGAUUGGGUAAGUCCAGUACAUUGCGUACCUAAGAAGGGAGGUAUCACCGUCGUUCCUAAUGAUAAGGAUGAACUAAUCCCACAAAGGAUUAUUACCGGCUAUAGAAUGGUGAUAGACUUCCGGAAACUGAACAAGGCAACCAGGAAAGAUCAUUAUCCUUUGCCGUUCAUCGACCAAAUGCUAGAAAGGCUAUCAAAGCACACACACUUUUGCUUUCUAGACGGUUAUUCAGGUUUCUCGCAAAUACCUGUUGCAUAAUUUGAUCAAGAGAAAACCACCUUCACCUGCCCUUUCGAUACCUUUGCCUAUAGAUGUAUGCCUUUUGGCUUAUGUAAUGCACCUGCCACCUUUCAAAGAUGUAUGAUGGCUAUAUUCUCUGACUUUUGUGAAAAGAUUGUCGAGGUUUUCAUGGAUGACUUCUCCAUUUACGGGUCUUCCUUUGAUGAUUGCCUCAGCAACCUUGAUCGAAUCUUACAGAGAUGCGAAUAAACCAACCUCGUCUUGAAUUGGGAGAAGUGCCACUUUAUGGUUAAUGAAGGUAUCGUCUUAGGACACAAAAUCUCUGAAAGAGGCAUUGAAGUUGAUAAGGCUAAGGUUGAUGCAAUUGAGAAAAUGCCUUGCCCCACAGAUAUCAGAGGUAUACGAAGUUUCCUAGGUCAUGCUGAUUUCUAUAGAAGGUUCAUUAAAGACUUCUCUAAGAUUUCUAGGCCUCUUACCAACCUCUUGCAGAAGGAUGUUCCUUUUGUUUUUGAUGAGGAUUGUGAGGAAGCCUUCGAAAUACUUAAGAAGGCUUUGAUAACCGCACCUAUUGUUCAACCACCUGACUGGAACUUUCCCUUUGAAAUCAUGUGUGACGCUAGUGAUUAUGCUGUUGGUGUUGUUCUAGGACAAAGAGUUGACAAGAAGUUGAAUGUCAUUCACUACGCUAGUAAAACUCUAGACAGUGCCCAAAGGAACUAUGCCACUACGGAGAAGGAAUUUUUAGCACUCGUGUUUGCAUGUGAAAAAAUCAGAUCUAACAUAGUUGACUCCAAGGUCACUAUUCACUCUGAUCAUGCUCCUAUUAAGUACCUUAUGGAGAAGAAGGACGCUAAGCCUAGGCUUAUCAGAUGGGUUCUCCUGCUACAGGAAUUUGAUUUGCACGUCAUUGACCGAAAGGGUGCUGAUAACCCUGUAGCAGAUAACUUGUCUAGGCUAGAGAAUGUCCUUGAUGACCCACUACCAAUUGAUGACAGCUUUCCUGAUGACCAAUUAAAUGUCAUCCGCACUUCACUUAGUGCACCAUGGUAUGCCGAUUAUGCAAACUAUAUCGUAGCCAAAUACAUACCACCCAGUUUCACCUAUCAACAAAAGAAGAAAUUCUUCUUUGAUUUGAGACACUACUUUUGGGAUGAUCCUCACCUUUAUAAGGAAGGAGUAGAUGGUGUUAUUAGACGUUGUGUGCCUGAACAUGAACAGGGACAGAUCCUGCAGAAGUGUCAUUCCGAAGCCUACGGAGGACACCACGCUGGAGAUAGAACUGCCCAUGAGGUAUUGCAAUCAGGUUUCUAUUGGCCCACUCUCUUCAAGGAUGCUCGUAAGUUUGUCUUGUCUUGUGACAAAUGCCCAAGGAUAGGGAACAUCAGUAAGCGUCACAAGAUGCCUAUGAACUAUUCACUUGUCAUUGAACCAUUUGAUGUCUGGGGCUUUGAUUAUAUGGGACCCUUCCCGAGUUCCAGUGGGUACACUCACAUCUUAGUUGUUGUGGAUUACGUUACUAAGUGGGUAGAAGCUAUCCCCACUAAAAAUGCUGAUCACCACAACUCUAUUAAGAUGCUUAAAGAAGUUAUAUUCCCAAGAUUUGGAGUCCCUAGAUACUUGAUGACUGAUGGCGGUUCACACUUCAUUCAUGGUGUUUUCCGCAAGAUGCUAGCUAAGUAUGAUGUCAACCAUAGAGUUGCAUCUCCUUAUCAUCCUCAGUCUAGUGGUCAAUUGGAGUUGAGUAAUAGGGAGAUCAAGUUGAUCUUACAAAAGACCGUCAAUAGAUCCCGAAAGAACUGGUCUAGCAAACUUGACGAUGCACUAUGGGCUUAUAGGACUGCUUAUAAAAAUCCCAUGGGCAUGUCACCGUAUAAAAUGGUUUACGGUAAGGCCUGUCAUUUACCUCUUGAGUUGGAACACAAAGCUUAUUGGGCAAUCAAAGAGCUCAACUUUGAUUUCAAACUUGCCAGUGAGAAGCGGUUGUUUGAUAUCAGCUUGUUGGAUGAAUGGAGAGCCCAGGCAUAUGAGAAUACCACGUCGUCAAGGAAAAGGUUAAGAGAUGGCACGACAAACGAAUACAGAAACGAGAGUUCAAUGUAGGUGAUUAUGUCUUGCUAUACAAUUCUCGUUUGAGAUUCUUUGGAGGCAAGCUUCUCUCUAAAUGGGAAGGUCCCUACGUUGUCGAGGAAGUAUAUCGUUCCGGUGCCAUCAAAAUCAAUAAUACAAGGAAAUUUUCCUAGAGUGGUAAAUGGGCAAAGAAUCAAGCAUUACAUCUCUGGUACUCCCAUAAAUGUUGAGACCAAUAUCAUCAAUGUCAUAACUCCACAGGAGUACAUAAGGGAUGUUUAUCAGCCUGUUUCAGACCUUGAAAACGAAGAUGUAUCUGUUUCGGCAAGAAAUUGGACUCCGAUACUUUUCCAAUAGGAAAUUUCCUCAGUUUUGGAAUUUUUGGAAAAUUAGAAAAAUAAAAAAGCAGUCCGGAGAGCAAACGAGGAAGCCACAAGGGCCCACUCCGCCACCACCCCCUGGUGGCGGUGGGCAAGCUUGUGGGCACCUUGUGUGCCUCCCGGACUCCGUUUUCUUGCAGAGGACUCCUUCUGGCCCAGAAAAAAUCAAUAUAUAGUUGCCCGAAGGUUUUGAUCUUCAUAUCGCGUAGUUUUCCUCUGUUUUCGUUUCGAGCUUGUUUCUGCCGCAGAUCUAGAUCAUCAUGACUUCCCCAAACGCUCCUAAGGACAAGAUCUUGGAGAAGGUCAUCAAUCCCUACCUCACGGAAGUGCUAAAACACCAUCAAUCUAUCAAGAUGAGCGAGGGGAUGUUGCACAUCCGUGAUGUUGAGGGGCCUAAGAAGACCGGAAGCAUGGAGACGAGGCUCGAAGUAGUGGAGCAACAAGUCUUCAUGUGCCAAGGGAUGGUUGAGCGUGGACUCAACGCCAACCACACGAUGAUCACGGAGUUCACUAGCAAUCACAAGAUGGAUGUCAUUGAUAUCGGGAAACACCUCUCCAGACUUUACGAUAGGGUUGACCAACUUCAGGGCCAAAUCUAUGACCUGCAGAAUCAAAACUGUGAGUAUGGGUAUAGAUUUAAAUCAAUAAGGUUGGCUGCAGAUUUGAGGAUUUCGGCUACUCGUUCAUCCUGCCAUGAUGGAGCACCUAUGCCUUGGAAGACGGAGGAUCAGACUACUCCAACAACACCACCAUCAUCACCAAAGGAAGACAACUAAGCAUUGGUAUGGGCAAUCCCCUUGGCUUCUGCCGAGCUUGGGGGAGUUGCCCUGGUAUCAUAUCACCUUUAUAUCUUUUGCUUUUACCUUUGUUUUAGUUCUUUCCCUUUCAGUUUUUAUUUCUUCUUUUAGAGGAAUAAGUCUUUAGUUUUUAGUUUGAGUCUUUUGCUUUUGGUCUCUCCCCCGAUGUAUUCGAGCUUACGAGCUAUAUAAUAAAGAGUGUCUUAGUCAAAGGGCUUUGCUUUGUGCCAUGAUCAAAAGUAUGAAAAGAACGAUAGCAUGAAAGAUCAUGAGACGAUCUUAUGGAAAGUGAUAACUUCACUUAUGACACGUAUGAUGAUUGAAACUUGUCGAGAAUAAAUCAACACAUACCUCAGUCAUUGUUGCAAUUAAUAAGAAGUAAUAAGGAAAGAGAGGUUCACAUAUAAAUAUAUCAUCUUAGACACUUUCUACAAUUGUGAGCACUCACCAAACUAUUACAUGCCUAGGAGUAGAUGUUGGACAAGGAAGACAACAUAAUGAAUUGUGUUUGCUUGGUUCCAAACAAUGUUAUAUGAUUAGAGAUCCCUUAGCAUGUGACGAUUGCUUCCACCUCAUAUUAGCCAAAACUUCCGCACCAAGUAGAGAUACUACUUGUGCAUCCAUAAACCUUCAACCCAGUUUUGCCAUGAGAGUCCACCAUACCUACCUAUGGAUUGAAUAAGAUCCUUCAAGUAAGUUGUCAUCGGUGCAAGCAAUAAAAAUUGCUCUCUAAUAUGUAUGAUCUAUUAGUGUGUGGAAAAUAAGCUUUGUACGAACCUGUGAUGAGGAAGACAUAAAAGCGACAGACUGCAUAAUAAAGUUCUUUGUCACAGGAGGCAAUAUAAAGUGACGUUCCUCCGCACUAAGAGGACACGCAUUCAAACCUCAAAAGUGCAUGACAACCUCUGCUUCCCUCUGCGAAGGGCCUAUCUUGUACCUUUACUUUUACCCUUGUAAGAGUCAUGGUGAUCAUCACCAAUUCCCUUUUUGCCUUCGUCUUGGCUACCGUCACAUGCUUGGAAAAGAUCUAUAUUCAUAUAUCAACUUGGAGUUGAGUACUCAUGCUUUAUUGUUGUUGACUUUACCCUUGAGGUAAACCGUUGGGAGGAAAAACUAUAAGCCCCCAUCUUCCUCUGUGUCGAGCUGAAGCUUUGACACCAUGAGUACCACGUGAGCUAUAAAAAUUGUGGAAAACAAAAGAGAUGAUUGAGUAUGUGGGUUUGCCUUACAAGCUCUUAUUUGACUCUUUCUGAUGUUGUGAUAAAUUGCAAUUGCUUCAAUGAUUAUGGACUAUUGUUGGUUACUUCUCGGUAAGGUUUUUGCUUCAUGCUUUGCUUUGUGAAGGAAUUGUUACUUUCCCAUAAGAAUCUUUAUAUAUAUUGUUGUUCUAUGUGUGAUCAUGAUGCCCUCAUGUCUGUAUUAUGUUUUAUCGACACCUUCGUCCCUCAACAUGUGGACGUGUUUAUGGAACUUGGUUUUCGCUUGAGGACAAGCGAGGUCUAAGCUUGGGGGAGUUGAUACGUCCAUUUUGCAUCAUGUUUUCAUGUUGAUAUUUAUUGCUUCUUGGGAUGUUAUAUUACUUGUGGUGCCAUAUUUAUGCCUUUUCGCUCUUAUUUUGCAAGGAUUAUUUGAAGAGGGAGAAUUCAGGCAGCUGGAAUUCUGGACUAGAAAAGGAGCAAAUCCUAGUCCACUAUUCUGCACAUCUCCAAAUGCCCUGAAAAUUUACGUGGAUUUUUUCUGGAAUAUAUUAAAAAUACUGGGCGAAAGAACUACUGGAGGGGGGCCACCAGGGCCCCACAAGCUUGCCCACCACCACCACCCCCUGGUGGCGCACGGUAGGCUUGUGGGCAGCCCACUAGCCCACUAGCCCCCCUCUUUUGCUAUAUGAUGCGUCCUGACCUGGAAAAAAUCAUACAGGAGCUUUUUCGUGGUUUCGCCGCCACCACGGGGCGGAACUUGAGCAGAUCCAAUCUAGAGCUCUGGCAGGACAAUCCUGCCGGGGAAAUUUCCCUCCCGGAGGGGGGAAUCGUCGCCAUCUUCAUCACCAACACUCCUCUCGUCGGAGGGGAGGCAUCUUCAUCAACAUCUUCAUCAGCACCAUCUCUUCUCCAAUCCCUAGUUCAUCUCUUGUAACCAAUCUUCAUCUCGCAACUCAAAUUGGUACUUGUAAGGUUGCUAGUAGUGUUGAUUACUCUUUGUACUUGAUGCUUGUUGGAUUACUUGGUGGAAGAUUUUAUGUUCAGAUCCUUGAUGCUAUUCAUUACACCUCUGGUCAUGAUUAUGAUUAUGUCUUGUGAGUAGUUACUUUUGUUCCUGAGGACAUGGAAUAAGUCAUGCUGAUAAUAGUCAUGUGAAUUUGAUAUUCGUUCGGUAUUUUGAUAUGAUGUAUGUUGUUUUUCCUCUAGUGGUGUUAUGUGAAUGUCAACUACAUAACACUUCACCAUAUUUGGGUCUAGAGGAAGGCAUUGGAAAGUAGUAAGUAGAUGAUGGGUUGCUGGAGUGACAGAAGCUUGAACCCCAGUUUAUGCGCUACUUCGUGAGGGGUUGAUUUGGAUCCACUAGUUUAAUGCUAUGGUUAGACUUUGUCUUAAUUCUUCUUUUGUAGUUGCGGAUGCUUGCGAGAUAGGUUAAUCAUAAGUGGGAUGCUUGUCCAAGUAAGGGCAGUACCCAAGUGCCGGUCCACCCACAUAUCAAACUAUCAAAGUAACGAAUGCGAAUCAUAUGAACAUGAUGAAACUAGUAUGACAGAAAUUCCCGUGUGUCCUCGGGAGCGUUUUCCUCCUAUAAGACUUUGUUCAGGCUUGUCCCUUGCUACAAAAGGGAUUGGGCCACUUGCUGCACCGUUGCUACUACUUGUUACUUGUUACUCUUUGCUUGCUACGUUUCACCUCGCUACACAAUCACUUGUUACCGCUACUUUCAGUGCUUGCAGUUAUUACCUUGCUGAAAUCCGUUUAUCAGAGCCUUUUGCUCCUCGUUGGGUUCGACACUCUUACUUAUCGAAAUGACUACGAUUGAUCCCCUAUACUUGUGGGUCAUCAAGUUGCGUGAUCACAUGGUCAUAGGAACAGAAACAUUGACAUGCAGAAAAAUAGUAGCAAUAAACUGACACGAUCAUAUGCUACAUUUAUAGUUCGGUUCUUGUCCAUCACAUCAUUCUCCCAAUGAUGUGAUCCCGUCAUCAAGUGACAACACUUGCCUAUGGCCAGGAAACCUUGACCAUCUUUGAUCAACGAGCUAGUCAACUAGAGGCUCACUAGGGACAGUGGGUUGUCUAUGUAUCCACACAUGUAUUUGAGUUUCCAAUCAAUACAAUUCUAGCAUGGAUAAAUAAAUGAUUAUUACGAACAAGGAAAUAUAAUAAUAACCAAUUUAUUAUUGCCUCUAGGGCAUAUUUCCAACAAUUUCUAUGUAAAAGGUGCGGAUAGUACCUCAUUCUCGUCUAUCCCAAGCUGAGGUAUGUCACCGACCCUAUGCUCAUCCAUGCAUACAAAAUUAUCCACUGGAGCCCUGAAUAAUUUUUUAUAGUAUUCAAAGAUAUAUUGUUUGAGAUUCUCAUGUCCCACAAUUGUACCCUCAUCUUGUUCUAGCUGGAUAAUUUUUUUAUUCCUAUGCUUUCCAUUAGCUAUUAGAUGGAAAUGUUGUGUGUUGUCAUCUCCUUGUACCACUUGGAGGACUUUCGCUCUUAGUGCCCACUUCAACUCCUCCUCUCUGAGUAGUUGUUUGAGCUUUAGUUCAGCCUCCAUUUUUCAAUGACCUCUCAUUGUCACCUAAUAACGUUUGUUCGGCUUUUAUGUCUAGUGUGUUUAUAAGUUUAUAAGUUCGACAAGCCUUUGUUUCUUUUUCUUAUAAAUUACACUAUCGUGCUUUUCCCAACCCCUUAAGAAUUGCCUCAGGUGUCUUAUCUUAUUUUGCCACCUGUCAACAUUCGAGUCACCUUCUGUGAAAUAGCCCAUUCUCAAACCCGUCCCUUUCAAACCAUCCCAAUUCGAAAGAAAAAAGGUUUUUAUUUCCCACAUGUGUUGCUUCUCGCGAGUCUACAAACAGUGGGGUAUGAUCAGAGAUAGCUCUUGGUAACUCUCAAACUGUGACGAGAGGGAAUUUCUGCUCCCAUUCCACACUCAUGAGAACCCGGUCCAACUUCUCAAAAGUUGGGUUAGGUAAAGAGUUUGCCCAAGUAAACUUUCUCCCUGAUAGCUCAAUCUCCCACAAAUUAAGGCUCUCGAUGAUUGAAUUAAACAUAAAUGACCAUCUUCCAUCAAAGUUAUCACUGUUUUUCUCAUCCUGCCUCCAGAUUAUAUUAAAAUCGCCCCCUACUAAAAUCGGCAGUCUCUCGUCCCCGCAGAUUCGGACAAGGUCAGCCAAGAAAUCUCUCUUGAACUCAGGCUGGGCCGCCCCAUGCACAUCUACGAGUGCCCAUUGGAACCCGUCAUCUUUGGAGCGAACUCAAAAUUUGACUGCAAAGUCUCCAUACACCACUUUCGUAGUUGUGGUGUCUCGCACCGAACCCCAAGCAAGAUCCCACCUGAUCUUCCUCUUGGAGGUAGACAAUGCCAGUCAAAUUCAGAACCUCCAUACAACGUGUUUAAAAACGAAGCUAUAUAGUUAUCUCUCCCAGUUUCCAUCAAUGCAACGAAAUCCAAUUUGUGCUCAAUAGUUGUUUCAGCUAGGAAUCUUCUUUUAGCCAAGUCUGCUAGACCUCUGCUAUUCCAAAAUGUUCCUUUCAUCGCUCAUCAUGAAAUUUCUUAGCCGUUUUAAAUCUAGCACUACGACGCACAGCUGAAACAGGAUAGACUUUUCUCUUCCAGGUUCUUUUUGGCCUAUCCUGAACCUCCGACCGAUCCACAUAACCGUUGGACUCUUGUGCGUUAGCAUUCGUUUGUGGAGGAGCCUCAUACCCCUCCUGAACGAUAUCAUUUGUGUCUUCAAGCAAAAGGGGGGUGGCACAAGAUCCUCACAUAAACGCUCUAAGGCUCCCAAACCCAAUGCAUUUAUAUCAGAAUCAUUCAUAGGUUUUACGGCUGCAAUUUUUCUGACCAUCUCAAUUGCCCUCUCUGCCUCUAAGUCUAACAUGUCAUUUACCGAUCUAGAUAUCUCCUGGUCUACCAAACGCUAGAAUAAGGCCUAGUAACGGGCCCGACCCAUGCCAUUUUGGCCCAUGACUGCAACCAAACACACCCUUAAGUAACUUCUACAAUAUCCAUCCCCAACUUCCAGAAAUUCUAACACUUAAAAAAUCAAAAUCAAACUAUUGGCAUUUAAAACUUUCAUACAUUUCAUUUCUGAAAAAAAUGGUCUUUUAGAUUUCGAAAUAUCAGUAUUAUAUUUUUUACAAAAUUUAACUUUAAGAAUUUUCAAAAUUAUAAGGAUUCAAAAUUCAAAUGUUUUAGCACUUAAAAAAAUUCAAACUUUAAAAAAAUUGAACUUUCAAAUGUUUUGAAUUUUAAGAAGUGUGAACUUUCAUUUUUUUAUAAAGGAUGGGUUUUAUUUACUCAAAAUAAAGCAUCAAGAGCAUACAAAUACAAUAAGAACACACCCGGCCACUUUAUAACUAGGAUGCACACAACCAACUCAAACUCACACACACAAAAAUACGAUCGGUAAAUAGCAAAGUCAUAUAAGACCAAAGCUAUGUGCGCGGUUGGAAAAAGAAACCAAAGCGACCAUAUUGGCAAUGGACAAACUACAACAAUGACCAUAUCUGCACCAACAAUUUCAUUACACCACACGGACAACGAGGUUCCUCAACAAUGACACCUUCAGAAAGGGAGCGACGCUCAAAUGCCGCUAUCAUCGGAUCCAACCAUCCAAGGUCAGAUGCAAGAUUUUCACUCUGAGAAUCAGUCCAAGCAUGUCCGAGCAAUUCCUUCAAUAAGGUAAUGGCGUAAAAACAUCGCCAUUGCCAGGUACAGCCAACUCGAGUUGGACCUAGGCUUUCACCCGGGAGCUCAAGACCGGGUGCUCGAGAAGCACCACCAUCGAAGUCACUAUGUGUUGUUGCCACUACUUUUCCACAAUCUCAGUAGCUAUAUGCGAUGUGUGACCGCUGAUGCUGCACAACCAUCCCUCUACAUCAAGCCAUCAUCAAUAGUUUCAAUCUCACCGUUGAAGUCAACCAUCGGAUCUCCAAGAUCAAUCAUGAAGACCUUUUGAUGGAUACUACAUCAAUCCGCCGCGAGACCGCCACCGUAGUCAUGGUGGUCACCACACGUUCGUCGUCACGCCCCUAGCAGACCUAAAGGUCCACACCAAGGAACCACGGGUCCACACGCAUGGAGCCAUGGAUGUGUGUGUGGAUCAUGAAACGACCAAUCCAUGGCCAUGGCCAUUAGAUGAGACUAUCCCUGGCUGAUGGCAGGUGUCCAAGCCCUGCCGACAUGGCCACUACACCAUGGGCGCCAUCCCACAUGAAGGAGCCACCAGGCGGAGCAGCGACCACAAGUGAGGCGAGAUCUACACCAGCAAUGGCUGGAUCAUCCAGGUAACUGUCCGCUGGAUCUGUGGUGACAUCGUUGGAGGAAGCACGGGGUAGAGAGUGUGAAUCUGGGUUGGGGGAGAGGGGAAGGUCGGGGAAGAAGAUCCCUGUGGCGGUUGAGUCCCGCCGCCGCUGACAAACUGUCAUCGAUGAUGACGACGAGGAUGGAACAUCGGAGGCGGCCUCGAGUGCUAGGGUUUCUCGCCCCCGGUGUCGCCCUGGAGCAACACGGGAGGCCGAUGGCGAUUUCAUAGGAGAGAGAGAGAGAAGGUUGAGAAAUAGAAUCACAUGGUUGGGCAUGUGAGGAAAGAGAGAGAUGGAAAGAAGCACAUGGAUGAGGCCCCCUCGUCCUAUCUACCACAUGGUAACCUGACACAGUCACAUGCAAUGCUUGCGGCAAUGACCAUGGGCACAGUUCCCACAAGAGAGCAUUCUUAGAGUAAUAGCGAGUCUCAUCCUCAUGUUGGAUGCCUAUAUAAAGCUUCUCCUUUCCAACAUUCAUCAUACGAAUUGGCCAAAAUUUCUUUCUCAUUUGUGAUCUUUCAUCACAUUCAACUUUCCUUUGUAUAUAUUGUUGCUAAGCUUCAAAUUCUAAUCAGCUGGAGCUAAGCAAUGAAUUCUUCAUGCCAUCGAGCAUUCCUCGUGAGGAACAUCUUUUGUACUUUGGAAUGAGUGGUAUCGAGAAAUUAGUCAGGACGACUUUCUGAGGCUGAGGCGCCGCUUUUUUCUGUUCUCGUCUCUGAGACGUUGAGGUGGUAGACAUUUAUGAUAAGUGCAUUUCUUGUUGAGAAUAGCAUCGAUAAUCAUGUCUAGUCUAACAACUUGCUCAUUUAGGACUACCCUGGACAGUGCAACAAGUAAAAUACCAAAUCCUUGUACAAAAACAAGUUGUUGCCCUGUGGUGAGGAGUUGAAGCUAUGGCAUGAACUCGUCCAUGUGUGCGGUAUUUCUCCUUGUUGUUUCCAUCGUCUCUAGAAAUCGCUAAAAAGAUCAAAAACAAUAUCAAACCGUUGACACUAUGUGUCUACCAUCUCACACAAAUUCGAACCCAUAUCCAUCGCAGAUCUCCAAAAACAAACAAACAAGACGGAUCCAGUGUUGAACAGCAUAGCAACUAAUUCAAAUCAGCACAUGAACACAUCAUAUCAUCAGCACCAACACAAGAUUGUUUUUUUUUCUCUUUUCUUCAAACAAUAUCCUGAUUAAGGUUUAAAUAUUCUUGUGGCGUUGUAAAUACAUGUUGUGUGUCAGAGACAUAAUUCUUUUUCAAAUAAAAAAACAUAACUUUUUUUACCACAAAUUUUUCUAGGCUUAUGUGUGUGUAUCUUCCUUGUUUCAGUUCCAAGUGACAAGAGGCAAACUUGUCACGGUUGACUGAAUAGAACAGUAGCAAUCGACCUGCCCGGAGCUUCUAUUUUUUGUAGGUGAUUUUCUCUGUUAAGAGUGACUUCUUCUUUUUUGAGAGUUUUGUUAAGAGUGACAUGAAAUCUGCAUAUGGCGAUCGAGCACGCAUGCCGGCGAUCCCACACGGCGCACCGCAGCCACAAGCCGAUCGCCCCCACAAAAUCUGCCCGACGGCUCCCACCGGGAUGGGAUUCCCCGGUGCCAAUGGCGCGCGCCCACCUCACCCCCUCUUAUCCCCGCCUCACCCACUCGCGCCACGCCCCUUAUCCCCUCCUCUUACAAACCCACACAAACUAAUCAUCGCCCACCACCCUCCAACGAUCACCAACCAAAACCCCUCCACACGCCCGCCCGCGCGCGCCACGGACGCAGCAAUGGCCGCCCUCGCCGCCUCCAUCGCCACCUCCACGGCGUUCGCCGCGAAGCCGCGCCUGUCCCGCCCGCCGGCGCGCCUCUCCGUCUCCUGCUCCGCGUCCAGCGGCGACAACAACAACAGCACCGCCACCCCCUCGCUCUCCGCCUCCAUCAAGACCUUCUCGGCCGCGCUGGCGCUCUCCUCCGUGCUCCUCUCCUCCGCCGCCACCUCCCCGCCCCCCGCGGCUGCCGACAUCGCCGGCCUGACCCCGUGCAAGGAGUCCAAGGCCUUCGCCAAGCGGGAGAAGCAGUCGGUCAAGAAGCUCAACUCGUCGCUCAAGAAGUACGCGCCCGACUCCGCCCCGGCGCUCGCCAUCCAGGCCACCAUCGACAAGACCAAGCGCCGGUUCGAGAACUACGGCAAGUUCGGCCUGCUCUGCGGCUCCGACGGCCUGCCCCACCUCAUCGUCAGCGGCGACCAGCGGCACUGGGGCGAGUUCAUCACCCCCGGCGUGCUCUUCCUCUACAUCGCCGGCUGGAUCGGCUGGGUCGGACGCAGCUACCUCAUCGCCGUCAGCGGCGAGAAGAAGCCCGCCAUGAGGGAGAUCAUCAUCGACGUCGAGCUCGCCGCCAGGAUCAUCCCCAGGGGCUUCAUCUGGCCCGUCGCCGCAUACCGCGAGCUCAUCAACGGCGACCUCGUCGUCGACGACGCCGACAUCGGCUACUAAGAAGCUGCCAUGCGUGCGUGCGUGCGUGGUUGGCUAGUCGGUCCCAAGUCAGGU
RNAcentral lists this long non-coding RNA (30480 nucleotides) under Hordeum vulgare. Its description in RNAcentral is "long non-coding RNA (HVUL_LNC013953)". Lineage: Eukaryota; Viridiplantae; Streptophyta; Magnoliopsida; Poales; Poaceae. The record is from RNAcentral.